UACAUAGGGGGCAAGCGUUAUCCGGAUUUACUGGGCGUAAAGGGUGCGUAGGUUGUUAUUUAAGUUCUUGGUGUAAGUGCAGUGCUCAACGCUGUGAUGCUAAGGAAACUGGAUAGCUAGAGUUAGAUAGAGGCAAGUGGAAUUCCAUGUGUAGCGGUAAAAUGCGUAAAUAUAUGGAGGAACACCAGUGGCGAAGGCGGCUUGCUGGGUCUAUACUGACGCUGAUGCACGAAAGCGUGGGGAGCAAACAGG
RNAcentral lists this ribosomal RNA (252 nucleotides) under uncultured bacterium. Its description in RNAcentral is "partial 16S ribosomal RNA". It matches the Rfam family "Bacterial small subunit ribosomal RNA", at positions 524 to 776 of the family's 1533-position model. The record is from RNAcentral.